UACGAUGAAGAGUUUGAUCCUGGCUCAGGAUGAACGCUAGCGGCAGGCUUAACACAUGCAAGUCGAGGGGUAUUAGUUUUCGGACUAAGAGACCGGCGCACGGGUGCGUAACGCGUAUGCAAUCUACCUUUUACAGAGGGAUAGCCCAGAGAAAUUUGGAUUAAUACCUCAUAGUAUUAUGAAAUGGCAUCAUUUUAUAAUUAAAGUCACAACGGUAAAAGAUGAGCAUGCGUCCCAUUAGCUAGUUGGUAAGGUAACGGCUUACCAAGGCUACGAUGGGUAGGGGUCCUGAGAGGGAGAUCCCCCACACUGGUACUGAGACACGGACCAGACUCCUACGGGAGGCAGCAGUGAGGAAUAUUGGACAAUGGGCGCAAGCCUGAUCCAGCCAUGCCGCGUGCAGGAUGACGGUCCUAUGGAUUGUAAACUGCUUUUGUACAGGAAGAAACACUCCGACGUGUCGGAGCUUGACGGUACUGUAAGAAUAAGGAUCGGCUAACUCCGUGCCAGCAGCCGCGGUAAUACGGAGGAUCCAAGCGUUAUCCGGAAUCAUUGGGUUUAAAGGGUCCGUAGGCGGUUUA
Molecule: ribosomal RNA, 581 nt
Filed under: Flavobacterium sp. MC2016-06
Lineage: Bacteria; Pseudomonadati; Bacteroidota; Flavobacteriia; Flavobacteriales; Flavobacteriaceae
Description: partial 16S ribosomal RNA
Rfam family: Bacterial small subunit ribosomal RNA
Source: RNAcentral